AAAUUUGAGGGUGACCUGACUGUGACAAGACACCCCACUGAUCAUCAGUGAUUUUUUCAACUGAGUUUCCUGGCUUGCUUGGUGUCCCCUUUCUCCUCUACAGUUCGGCAUCUUUCCUUCCUGAAGCAGGACACUCGGUCAAAAAGGACACCUUUUAAAAAUGUUAAAUAAUUCUCUGUUGCUUUCUCUUUGUGUAAGUAUCAAAUUUUUAAUUUCUCUGAACCUCCUGGCAUUGAAAAAUGGCACCAGAAAAUUAAUAGCAGGAAUACGAAAUCCUUUUCUUU
This 284-nucleotide small RNA is filed under the name Dasypus novemcinctus (nine-banded armadillo). RNAcentral's name for it is "7SK RNA (ENSDNOG00000035694.1)". The stretch from base 1 to 182 matches the Rfam family "7SK RNA". From Rfam's summary of the family: 7SK was discovered as an abundant small nuclear RNA in the mid-70s but a possible function has only recently been suggested. The record is from RNAcentral. Lineage: Eukaryota; Metazoa; Chordata; Mammalia; Cingulata; Dasypodidae.